GAAGGAAUUGAUUUCAUGUAUUCAAAACUUAAGAACUCAAAUUGUUGAAAUAGAAGAUGAUUUUUCUAAAAUGCAUUUAACAAGUGUUUUAUCUGUUAAACAAUGCAGAUUACAAAGACUUUCAUUUCGUGAAAAGUUAAAACAAUUUGAACAAGCAAUAUUAAUGUUUCAAGAAACAAAAGCAGUUCUAGAAGCUAGAUUAAUUAGAAUUCAAAAGAAAGCUGCUAUAAAAUAUAUACAAAAAAUGGAACUAGCAAAAGAGGAAUGUUUU
Molecule: long non-coding RNA, 271 nt
Organism: Centruroides sculpturatus (bark scorpion)
Lineage: Eukaryota; Metazoa; Arthropoda; Arachnida; Scorpiones; Buthidae
Exons: 3
Source: RefSeq, a predicted model, not a curated record